AGUGAACGCUGGCGGUAGGCCUAACACAUGCAAGUCGAACGGCAGCACAGUAAGAGCUUGCUCUUACGGGUGGCGAGUGGCGGACGGGUGAGGAAUACAUCGGAAUCUACUUUUUCGUGGGGGAUAACGUAGGGAAACUUACGCUAAUACCGCAUACGACCUACGGGUGAAAGCAGGGGAUCUUCGGACCUUGCGCGAUUGAAUGAGCCGAUGUCGGAUUAGCUAGUUGGCGGGGUAAAGGCCCACCAAGGCGACGAUCCGUAGCUGGUCUGAGAGGAUGAUCAGCCACACUGGAACUGAGACACGGCCCAGACUCCUACGGGAGGCAGCAGUGGGGAAUAUUGGACAAUGGGCGCAAGCCUGAUCCAGCCAUACCGCGUGGGUGAAGAAGGCCUUCGGGUUGUAAAGCCCUUUUGUUGGGAAAGAAAAGCAGCAGGUUAAUACCCCGCUGUUCUGACGGUACUCAAAGAAUAAGCACCGGCUAACUUCGUG
RNAcentral lists this ribosomal RNA (492 nucleotides) under uncultured bacterium. Its description in RNAcentral is "partial 16S ribosomal RNA". It matches the Rfam family "Bacterial small subunit ribosomal RNA", at positions 29 to 507 of the family's 1533-position model. The record is from RNAcentral.